UACGGAGGGUGCGAGCGUUAAUCGGAAUUACUGGGCGUAAAGCGCGCGUAGGCGGUCUGAUCAGCCGGUUGUGAAAGCCCCGGGCUCAACCUGGGAACGGCAUCCGGAACUGUCAGGCUAGAGUGCAGGAGAGGAAGGUAGAAUUCCCGGUGUAGCGGUGAAAUGCGUAGAGAUCGGGAGGAAUACCAGUGGCGAAGGCGGCCUUCUGGACUGACACUGACGCUGAGGUGCGAAAGCGUGGGUAGCAAACAGGAUUAGAUACCCCGGUAGU
Molecule: ribosomal RNA, 271 nt
Filed under: uncultured prokaryote
Description: partial 16S ribosomal RNA
Rfam family: Bacterial small subunit ribosomal RNA
Source: RNAcentral